RNAcentral lists this ribosomal RNA (477 nucleotides) under Plectosphaerella cucumerina. Its description in RNAcentral is "eukaryotic LSU rRNA". The stretch from base 106 to 259 matches the Rfam family "5.8S ribosomal RNA". Lineage: Eukaryota; Fungi; Ascomycota; Sordariomycetes; Glomerellales; Plectosphaerellaceae. The record is from RNAcentral.
UAUACCUGUUGCUUCGGCGGCGCCCGCGAGGGUGCCCGCCGGUCUCAUCAGAAUCUCUGUUUUCGAACCCGACGAUACUUCUGAGUGUUCUUAGCGAACUGUCAAAACUUUUAACAACGGAUCUCUUGGCUCCAGCAUCGAUGAAGAACGCAGCGAAACGCGAUAUGUAAUGUGAAUUGCAGAAUUCAGUGAAUCAUCGAAUCUUUGAACGCACAUGGCGCCUUCCAGUAUCCUGGGAGGCAUGCCUGUCCGAGCGUCGUUUCAACCCUCGAGCCCCCGUGGCCCGGCGUUGGGGAUCUGCCACGGCAGGCCCCUAAAACCAGUGGCGGACCCGAAGGCCCUCUCCUUUGCGCAGUAGCAUCAGCCUCGCAUUGGGAUCCCUCGGCGUCCUGCCUCUAAACCCCCCACAAGUCCGCUCCGGCGGCACCAAGGUUGACCUCGGAUCAGGUAGGAAUACCCGCUGAACUUAAGCAUAUC